AGAAAGUGUACAAGAAAUAAUUGUUGUACAUAAAUACCAAAAAUCUUACACAACACAAGUUUCAUUCACAAAUACUCCAAUAAAUGUUCCUCAAGUUGAAGGUUCCAAUAUUUCAAAAUAACAAGUAUUCCAUAUAUUUAGCCCAUUGAACUCCACUUCUUUACGACCUCUUACCCCAAACACAUGCAAUGUCAGUAAAUUCUUCUUAGCUCAUUGAAUUCCACUUCUUUAAGAUCUCUUCUAACCCAAACACCAUGUACUAAGAUCCUUUUCUUUUCCAGUAGGCAACUUCU
Molecule: long non-coding RNA, 293 nt
Filed under: Erythranthe guttata (spotted monkey flower)
Lineage: Eukaryota; Viridiplantae; Streptophyta; Magnoliopsida; Lamiales; Phrymaceae
Description: long non-coding RNA (EGUT_LNC000711)
Source: RNAcentral